This 787-nucleotide ribosomal RNA is filed under the name uncultured bacterium. RNAcentral's name for it is "bacterial SSU rRNA". It matches the Rfam family "Bacterial small subunit ribosomal RNA", at positions 23 to 827 of the family's 1533-position model. The record is from RNAcentral.
CUCAGAAUCAACGCUGGCGGCGUGCCUCAGACAUGCAAGUCGAACGAUUAAACUUUCCUUCGGGAAAGAUAUAAAGUGGCGCACGGGUGAGUAACACGUAAGUAAUCUACCUUCGAGUGGGGAAUAACCCGGGGAAACCCGAGCUAAUACCGCAUAAUGCAGCGGCAUCGCAAGAUGACAGUUGUUAAAGAUUUAUCGCUUGAAGAGGAGCUUGCGGCAGAUUAGCUAGUUGGUAAGGUAAUGGCUUACCAAGGCUACGAUCUGUAACCGGUCUAAGAGGACGGUCGGUCACACUGACACUGAAUAACGGGUCAGACUCCUACGGGAGGCAGCAGUCGGGAAUUUUGGGCAAUGGGCGAAAGCCUGACCCAGCAACGCCGCGUGAAGGAUGAAGUAUUUCGGUAUGUAAACUUCGAAAGAAUAGGAAGAAUCAAUGACGGUACUAUUUAUAAGGUCCGGCUAACUACGUGCCAGCAGCCGCGGUAAUACGUAGGGACCAAGCGUUGUUCGGAUUUACUGGGCGUAAAGGGCGCGUAGGCGGCAAUUCAAGUCAUCUGUGAAAUCUCCGGGCUUAACUCGGAACGGUCAGAUGAUACUGCUUUGCUAGAGUGCAGAAGGGGCAAUCGGAAUUCUUGGUGUAGCGGUGAAAUGCGUAGAUAUCAAGAGGAACACCUGAGGUGAAGACGGGUUGCUGGGCUGACACUGACGCUGAGGCGCGAAAGCAGGGAGCAAACGGGAUUAGAUACCCCGGUAGUCUGGCCCUAAACGAUGAAUACUUGGUGUCUGG